ACAUAGAAUAUUAUACAAUUACUGUCUUUUGAUGAGGUAAAUGUGUGGUUUUAUUGACUUUUGAAAAACUGAUAUUCACUGAGGCCAACAGUUUUUCAAAAGUCAAUAAAACCACAUAUUUACCGAAACAAAAGACAGUAAUUGUUUUAUUCCAUAUUCCGGUAGAAAUGUAUGUAAAGGAAAAUAUUUACCAAAAUCAAUUGUACAUCAAACUUUUUUUACCAAAAUUAUACACGUAAAAUCACGCGACGUUUUGCGCGGUGAAUACUCUUUUUCGCAGGUGAAUAUGCUUAUUUAUUCAAAAUCCAAUUCAUAUAGAAAAACCUACUAAAGUUUUAGCAAUAUGGAAUAAAUAUAU
This 358-nucleotide long non-coding RNA is filed under the name Mytilus galloprovincialis (Mediterranean mussel). The record is from RNAcentral. Lineage: Eukaryota; Metazoa; Mollusca; Bivalvia; Mytilida; Mytilidae.